This 273-nucleotide ribosomal RNA is filed under the name uncultured bacterium. RNAcentral's name for it is "partial 16S ribosomal RNA". It matches the Rfam family "Bacterial small subunit ribosomal RNA", at positions 523 to 796 of the family's 1533-position model. The record is from RNAcentral.
AUACGGAGGGUGCAAGCGUUGUUCGGAAUCACUGGGCGUAAAGGGCGCGCAGGCGGUUUGGUAAGUCAGAUGUGAAAGCCCACGGCUCAACCGUGGAAGUGCAUUUGAAACUGUCAGACUUGAGUACUAGAGGGGAAAGUGGAAUUCCCGGUGUAGAGGUGAAAUUCGUAGAUAUCGGGAGGAAUACCGGUGGCGAAGGCGACUUUCUGGCUAGAUACUGACGCUGAGGCGCGAAAGCGUGGGGAGCAAACAGGAUUAGAAACCCCAGUGUCC